This 1372-nucleotide ribosomal RNA is filed under the name uncultured bacterium. RNAcentral describes it as "bacterial SSU rRNA". It matches the Rfam family "Bacterial small subunit ribosomal RNA", at positions 28 to 1381 of the family's 1533-position model. The record is from RNAcentral.
GAUGAACGCUGGCGGCGUGCCUAAUACAUGCAAGUCGAGCGAACGGACGAGAAGCUUGCUUCUCUGAUGUUAGCGGCGGACGGGUGAGUAACACGUGGAUAACCUACCUAUAAGACUGGGAUAACUUCGGGAAACCGGAGCUAAUACCGGAUGAUAUUUUGAACCGCAUGGUUCAAAAGUGAAAGACGGUCUUGCUGUCACUUAUAGAUGGAUCCGCGCUGCAUUAGCUAGUUGGUAAGGUAACGGCUUACCAAGGCAACGAUGCAUAGCCGACCUGAGAGGGUGAUCGGCCACACUGGAACUGAGACACGGUCCAGACUCCUACGGGAGGCAGCAGUAGGGAAUCUUCCGCAAUGGGCGAAAGCCUGACGGAGCAACGCCGCGUGAGUGAUGAAGGUCUUCGGAUCGUAAAACUCUGUUAUUAGGGAAGAACAUAUGUGUAAGUAACUGUGCACAUCUUGACGGUACCUAAUCAGAAAGCCACGGCUAACUACGUGCCAGCAGCCGCGGUAAUACGUAGGUGGCAAGCGUUAUCCGGAAUUAUUGGGCGUAAAGCGCGCGUAGGCGGUUUUUUAAGUCUGAUGUGAAAGCCCACGGCUCAACCGUGGAGGGUCAUUGGAAACUGGAAAACUUGAGUGCAGAAGAGGAAAGUGGAAUCCCAUGUGUAGCGGUGAAAUGCGCAGAGAUAUGGAGGAACACCAGUGGCGAAGGCGACUUUCUGGUCUGUAACUGACGCUGAUGUGCGAAAGCGUGGGGAUCAAACAGGAUUAGAUACCCUGGUAGUCCACGCCGUAAACGAUGAGUGCUAAGUGUUAGGGGGUUUCCGCCCCUUAGUGCUGCAGCUAACGCAUUAAGCACUCCGCCUGGGGAGUACGACCGCGAGGUUGAAACUCAAAGGAAUUGACGGGGACCCGCACAAGCGGUGGAGCAUGUGGUUUAAUUCGAAGCAACGCGAAGAACCUUACCAAAUCUUGACAUCCUUUGACAACUCUAGAGAUAGAGCCUUCCCCUUCGAGGGACAAAGUGACAGGUGGUGCAUGGUUGUCGUCAGCUCGUGUCGUGAGAUGUUGGGUUAAGUCCCGCAACGAGCGCAACCCUUAAGCUUAGUUGCCAUCAUUAAGUUGGGCACUCUAAGUUGACUGCCGGUGACAAACCGGAGGAAGGUGGGGAUGACGUCAAAUCAUCAUGCCCCUUAUGAUUUGGGCUACACACGUGCUACAAUGGACAAUACAAAGGGCAGCGAAACCGCGAGGUCAAGCAAAUCCCAUAAAGUUGUUCUCAGUUCGGAUUGUAGUCUGCAACUCGACUACAUGAAGCUGGAAUCGCUAGUAAUCGUAGAUCAGCAUGCUACGGUGAAUACGUUCCCGGGUCU